CUCGCCUUGUCGUUCGCGGUCGGAGGCUGGGCGCUGGCGCUAAUGGGAAUCCGGGCAGCGCGGCAGGCGGGACUCAGACCUGGCCACCGCGUCAGGUGGACCUGGGCUCUGGUCUCGGCUCCCCGGCUCGCGUUUGUGUUGACCUUGGCCCAAGCGCAGUGUGCUCUGUGGCGAAAUCCGAGUAGGAGUGACCCCUCUGGGGUGAUAUCGAGCGUGCUGGCGUUCCUUUCAGCGGCACAGGGAUUGCAGGGUGCAGAGUCAUGAGAACAUCACUGUCCCGGGAAGGGACCCUGAGUGGCAGGCAGCCCCAGAGCGGACUGACCGAAGCGCGCGCUGGACGUUUCCUCCCUGUGUUCCUUCGCAGUGUCGAGUUUCCUCCGCCCUCUGCCCUCCCUCUUUUUUGCGUGUAACCAUCAGAAGGGUUGCAAAACUCGUGCCAGGAACACCCAGGUGACUCUUCUCCAUUCAUUGCUUGUUAGCAUUUUGCUCUAUUUGUGACCUUGCGCUGCGUCUUUUUUUUUUUUUUUUUUAAAGCUGACAGCAACCGGUAUUCCCCGGUGGUCUCCCAUCCCAAGCACUAACCAGGCCUGACCUUGCUUAGAGGACCGAAGAGCAAUUGCCUAGCAUGCCUAAGGCCCUGGGUUCAAUCCCCAGAACUAUGGGUUAGGGGAAAAGACCCCAUAAUCGUUUUGUUCUGAAUUAUUUGAGAAUAGUUACAGAGAGCCCCUUUUUAAAAAAAAAAAAAAAAUAUUAUGUGUUUUUUUAUACAUUUAAUUUUAUGUGGUGCCGAGGUUCUACCCAGUGCCUCACACAUGCUAGGCAAGCGCUCUGCCACUGAACUAUAACUCCAGCAACGGUCCUUUAAAUAUUAAUAAUUGAAUACACAUCUCACAGGAGCAAGGUGUUCUCUUACAUUAUCUCAAUAAAUUAUCACAUUUAGGAAGUUCAAUAUUGAUAAAAUUCUGUUAUCAAGCAUCCAGUACAUAUUCCCAUAUCCCCAUUUGUUCCAAAUAUCUUUUGUGUGUGUGUGUGUGUGUGGGGGGGUACUGAAGAUUGAACCCCAUAGCACUGAGCUUCGUCCCCAGCCCUUCUUAUUUUAUGAGAUUGGGUCUUUCUAAGGCUGACCUCCAUCUUUGGAUCCUCCUGUUUCAGUCUCCUGUCUCUGGGAUCAUAGACAUGCACCAUGUUUUUUCCUUACUGAACCCUUUUUUUUUUUUUUAAGCAAAUGACAAAGACCCAGUUUACCAACUUUUUAAACCAAGGCUUAACAUUACAUAUUUAAACAAUUGCUAAAACUUAAAAGUUGUCUGCAUUCAUGCACAACUGGAAAACAUCCUUAAAUUUAUAUUAAACCAGAAAUGUAUUACCAUUAAUGCAUUAAUAUCUUUCACUACUAAAUACUUUAAAAAACAAAUUAUAUCUUUUUUUGUUAAUUUUUUAAAUCUGUAUAUGACAGCAGAAUGCAUUACAAUUCAUAUUACACAUAUAGAGCACAUUUUUCAUAUCUCUGAUGAUGUACAAAGUAUAUUCACACCAAUUUAUGACUUCAUUCAUGUACUUUGGAUAAUGAAGACCAUUACAUUCCACCAUCAUUUCUAACCCCCUGCCCCCUCCCUUUCCCUCCCACCCCUCUGCCCUACCUAGAGUUCAUCUCUUCCUCCCACGCUCCCCCUCCCUACCCCACUAUGAAUCAGCCUCCUUAUAUUAGAGAAAACAUUCGGCAUUUGGUUUUUUGGGAUUGGCUAACUUCACUUAGCAUUGUCUUCUCCAACUCUAUCCAUUUACCUGCAGAUGCCAUGAUUUUAUUCUCUUUUAUUGCUGAGUAAUAUUCCAUGUGUAUAUAUGCCACAUUUUUUUUUAAUCCAUUCAUCUAUUGAAGGGCAUCUAGGUUGGCUCCACAAUUUAGCUAUUGUGAAUUGUGCUGCUCUAAACAUUGAUGUGACUGUGUCCCUAUAGUUGCUUUUUUAAGUGGAAUCAUUUCUGUGGGAGGUGUACCCUGGCAGUGUUAGCUCACUUCGGGCGGCACUACUUGGCUCACCUGUUGGACACAUGGAGAGCAGACCUGUGCUGGUGUUAGAAUGCAGUCUUGGCCUAGCAGUACUCAAAGUCAAGCUCACAUUGUGUUAUAUUUUAUACAAAAGCAAAGUGCAUAUGGAAAUUACAACAAUUUUAAAGACAAAAAAACAUGGUCCUAUUGUGUGAUCCCAAAAAUAAACUCAAAGUCUAUGACAAGUAGGAGCUCCAAUGAGCUGUUUAUAAAUACUUUAGGCACAAUUAUACUGAAAGUCAAGUUUGUUUAAAUUUUUUAAAAAAUGUUCCUGUUACCCCUCAAAUGGUGCUUGUUAUAGUUUAACAUUUCUGUUUAAUGCAUGUGUGGAAUUACUUGUUAUCCAAGCAUAGUAGCUGCUCCUUGCCAUUUAUCACUAAGGACUUUUACUGGCCGUCUCAACUUCUACUUUCUUUACCUUCUCAAUAAUUCUCUUUGUAAUGAUUUUCAUUACGUUACUAAAUACUUAAAAACAAACUGAAAUUAUUUUCUGCCAGUAGAACAAUUUCAGUAGAAGUUGCUAUAGAUUUGAAGUUGCCCAUCCUACUGCCACCAAAUCAUGUAGAAGAAGAAAAUGUAAUGAGGCCACUGUGACCUAGUGACCCAAUGAAGAAAAUCCACCUCGAAAUGAUGGAAAUCCACUGAAAGCGAGAAAAACAAGCCUGCACCUUGGUUUCUGCUUCCUUGGGGACCCUUUUGAUUCCCAAAAAAGUCUUCAAAUGGGUCUUCAAAGAAGUCAAAUGAAAAUGGGUCCCUUCCACCAAAAAAUUCCCUGCAGAUAUCAUCUGGGUUCCGGACUGUCAAAAUGACUUCCACCUCCUCCUUCAGCAGUUAAUCCUUCUUUGCCAUGCUUGUCAUAGAUGUCAUGCUUUAGCAUCUGAUAACACCUCAUGUGCCUUGGCUACUUGUUUGAAUUUUCUCUGUGCUUCUGCAUUAUUUUGAGGAUUUGUAUCUGGAUGCCACUUUAGUGCCUGUUUCUGAUAUGCCUUUUUGAUAUCUUCGGGUGAGGCAUGCCUCUGCAUGCCUAGAACUUCAUAUAAUUCACCAUGUUUUAACAGAUUAUUGGAACAAGUCCCAGGACGGUGUGGUGGGCAGGACAGGUCUGGCAGGGCUGUGCUGGUGGCAGCAGCAGCAGUGGCUCCUUUGCCAUUUUCUUUUUGUCCUUUAUCUGACAACAAACUGGACUUGUGGUUUUGCAGUUCCUUUUCAUUUGCAUGUACAAUGAAUACUUGCUGGUGGAUAGUGCUCUCUUGGGUUCCAAGUCCACUUCAUCUGUGUCUUCUGCAGAGAUAGAUGACUCACAGAUAGGCUUAACAAAAGUUUGUUGACUUCAUCCCAGGCCAUUGCUAAGCUUGUUUUGCUCUGCUUUGAGGUUUUUCUUGGUACUUUAUUCCUCUGCAUGAGGAAGGAAUAGUUUUCGGUGUCUUCAAGGGUUGCUGAGGGCUGGGGGGUGUAGCUCAGUGGUGGAGCUCUUGUGCAUGCAUAAGGCUCUGGGUUUGUUCCCUAGAACUGCAAAAAAAAAAAGUGUGUGGAGGUAAUUUGCAAAGGAACAGUGAAGGCUGUUGAGGUGGUACAAACCUGCUACUCAAAAGGGGGUCAGAUGUGCCCUUACCUGUCUUUCCCCGUGUUCUCUACUUUUAUCCUGUUUCAUAUAGGCCUAGCCCUGCCAGGGACUUGAAGCAGAGGCAUGAUUUCCUUCUGUCUUUACUCAAUUAACUGCCUAAAGGGCACAGUCUCUGACUUGGUUUGUCAUUGUGUUUCUCAAUACGUAGCACACUGCAAGUAACUGGCUGAUAGUUGUGGAAUAACUGAGGGAAGGUUUGCUGAUACUUGGCAAGUACCAGUCUGACAUCUCCUACUGAUCUGCCGUCGUAAUUCCUUAUUUUUACGUGACAUAAGUCAUUACAAUAGCUGAAAGUAAUGUUUCUACAAGUCAUACUCCAGAAGAUCUCAUUAAUUGAUUAGGACACCUGAAGAGUUACUCAGCCAUUAUGGAAAGUGCUGAAGAAAUUAGGCUGAGCAGAUCUUCUUGGUCUUAUUUAUUUAUUUAAUUUUGGUACCAGGGAUUGAACCCAGUAGUACGUAACCACUGAGUCACAUCUCCAGCCCAUUUUUUAAUUUUAUUUAGAGACAGGAUCUCACGGAGUUGUUUAGGGCCUUGCUAAGUUGCUGAGGCUCGUUUUGAACUCAUCAUCCACCUGUCUCAGCCUCCUGAGCUGCUGGGAUUACAGAUGUGUGCUAGUACACCCAGCUUAUUUAUUGUUUAUUAUUAUUAUUUUUACUUUUUUGGUACUUGGGAUUGAACCCAGGGUGCUCUACCACUGAGCUAUGUCCCCAGACCUUUAUUUUUUAUUUUGAGCAGAGUCUUGCUAAGUUGCUGAGGCUGGCCUUGAACUUUUUGAUCAUCUUACCUCACCCUCGCAAGUAGCUGGGAUUGUAGGCAUAUACCACUGCACCCGGAUGGUCUUUUUUUUUUUUUUAAUAUUUAUCUUUUAGUUGUAGUUGGACACAAUACCUUUAUUUUAUUUUUUGAGAGAGAGGAGGGGGAGAGAGAGAGAGACAGACAAAUUUUUUUUUAAUAUUUAUUUUUUAGUUUUCGGCGGACACAUCUUUGUAUGUGGUGCUGAGGAUCGAACCCGGGCUGCACGCAUGCCAGCGAGCGCGCUACCGCUUGAGCCACAUCCCCAGCCCAACAAUACCUUUAUUUUAUUUAUUUAUAUGUGGUGCUGAGGAUCAAACCCAGGGCUUUGCACGUGCUGGGCGAACCCUCUAUCACUGAGCCACAACCCCAGUCCCGGCCCAGCUGGUCUUAAUUCUUAAAGGUGUGGAAAGCUCUUAUUUGUAAACUCAUUCCCCCCUCCCCUGCAAAGUAUUUUGAUUUUUUUUUUUUUCUUCCAGAGGCUAAAAGCUGCUGUUCACUACACGGUGGGUUGUCUUUGUGAGGAAGUCACCUCGGACAAAGAGAUGCAGUUCAGCAAACAAACCAUUGCAGCAAUUUCAGAGUUAACUUUUCGACAGUGCGGUAUGAAGCCAGGGUCUUCCUCUCUGUGUCUAUCUAUCCCGUAGGUUGGUCUGCCUGGGAGCAGUGUGCGGGUGGGACUGUGGUGUCUCUUACCCACACACGGAGGAUGUCAUCAUCGUCACAUUCUUCAUGAAAAACUUUUCCUGGCUGUGAGAUUUGGACAUUUUAUGGGAAGAACUGUUAGAGUUUUUUUCCUAUUGCACCAACACUAAGGUAUUAACGCCUUUUUUAUUAUCUUUUAAACUGCCCUGAUGGCUAGAACAUUAGACAUUAAAUUUUUUAUUUCAAUGCUUUAUAACAUUUUUAUAUCACGUGUUUUGACAGCUGAAUUUGUGGUAUUGGUACUUGCUUAACUUUAGAGGAAAUUAGUGCCCUCACAAGCCCUAACCUGUUGCAGAAUUUAAUAUUAAAGUAUAGUUCCUAUAGUUUCUAGAAACUAAAGGUGGAGUCAUAAUUAAUGGAAGGCUUAUAAUAAAGGGUGGAGGCUGUGAGAAGGACAAGGAGGUCAUCAUGAUUAAAAAAGCUAAGGGCUGUGGGGCUGGGAUUGUGGCUCAGUAGAGCUGCUUGCCUAGCAGGCUCAGGGCCUUGGGUUCGAUCCUCAGCACCACAUAAAAAUAAGUGAAUGAAAUAAAGGUAUUGGGUCCAACUACAACAUACAUAAAUAAAUAAAUAAAAGCUAAGGGCUGUUACCAAAUGAUGGGGCUGCCUGAAAUGCCUCCACUCCUCUUUAAAAGGGUUCCCUGUGUUAAUCA
This 5821-nucleotide long non-coding RNA is filed under the name Marmota monax (woodchuck). The record is from RNAcentral. Lineage: Eukaryota; Metazoa; Chordata; Mammalia; Rodentia; Sciuridae.